GCGCCUGUAGCUCAGCAGGAAAGAGCAACUGACUUCUAAUCAGUGGGUCGGGGGUUCAAAUCCUCCCAGGCGCGCCA
RNAcentral lists this transfer RNA (77 nucleotides) under Nitrospirota bacterium. RNAcentral's name for it is "Nitrospirae bacterium (marine sediment metagenome) tRNA-Arg". It matches the Rfam family "tRNA". From Rfam's summary of the family: Transfer RNA (tRNA) molecules are approximately 80 nucleotides in length. Their secondary structure includes four short double-helical elements and three loops (D, anti-codon, and T loops). Further hydrogen bonds mediate the characteristic L-shaped molecular structure. tRNAs have two regions of fundamental functional importance: the anti-codon, which is responsible for specific mRNA codon recognition, and the 3' end, to which the tRNAs corresponding amino acid is attached (by aminoacyl-tRNA synthetases). tRNAs cope with the degeneracy of the genetic code in two manners: having more than one tRNA (with a specific anti-codon) for a particular amino acid; and 'wobble' base-pairing, i.e. permitting non-standard base-pairing at the 3rd anti-codon position. RNAcentral also lists the same sequence under 1 other name. The record is from RNAcentral. Lineage: Bacteria; Pseudomonadati; Nitrospirota.